Molecule: long non-coding RNA, 256 nt
Organism: Acipenser ruthenus (sterlet)
Lineage: Eukaryota; Metazoa; Chordata; Actinopteri; Acipenseriformes; Acipenseridae
Exons: 2
Source: RefSeq, a predicted model, not a curated record
CUUGUUUGUUUGAAAACGGUUUGUGGGCAAUGGGGACUGGAGAUUGUGGAUUGCAUGGUAAAGACAGGGCCGCUUCCGCUUCAGAAUGUGUGGGAUCGCUCCAAAGGUACACAAGAAGAUUCGCCACCUAUACGUUUCUAAUCUCCUCUUUCCAAAGAAAGACUGUCCAAUGAAAAAAAAUAUUCAUUUUAAAUGUGCAAACAACCCCACCGCCCUCACCCCCAACAUUAAAAAAAAUACAAUAAAAUCGUUCUAA